AAUAUUACCAGCCAUCUAUGUAUAUAUAUCCUUUAGAGUUCAGACUUCCUUCCUUAUACAAUACUACUGCUAUCAUUCUUCUCAGUCUCAAAAUGACCGUCUUUAAUGCUCUCUCUUUUGUAGAUCUAUCUAAUGUCUCCUCACUCAUUUACUCCUCGAAUUUAUCAUUUCUUUUGAUUAGUUUGUCUAUGUUCUUUUUAUCUGAAAAUUUGUUUGAUAAUUAAUUCUUCCUCUCAAGGGUGAUUUUUGCCGGAAUCUGACAAGGGUAUUGCUGCAAAGUGUAUUCUUGCCAGAAUCUAAUCCGAGAAAUCUUACCCAGAUGCCAGAAACUAUAGAUUUUGAUGCUACUUUUUAUCUUUUGAUUCUAUUUUCUUUGUUUUUAAAUUUUCCUCUUAAAAAAAUAAAAAUAGGGUUUUGGUUUUCAUUUGAUUGGUUCCGGAGUUCUAACUUGGUAGAUUCUUUCUUUGAUGCCGUUACACAAUUAUCACUUUAUGUUUAAACCACUAGAAACCGGCCACGUCAUCUCCUGCUCGAGCUCUUGUUGCUAAGCUAUGCACAAAGUUUUGUAUAUAUAUAUAUAUAUAUAUAUUGAAUGAUAUAUAUAUAUAUAUAUAUAUAUCUUUUCUUGUUUUUGUUUUUGAUGAGAUGAUAUUUCUUCUUCAUUUGGUUUUCAAUGUAAAGGUUUAGUGCAUGGAUAGAUUGACAGUCGUUGUUUGCGGAUGUAGCAUCAUCAAGAUUCACAUGCAAAUGCAGAGGGUAGUGAUGUAAUAAUCUCCGCCAAAGUUCUUUGAAAGUGAGAAUCUUGAUGAUGCUGCAUCGGCAAUAAACGACUUUACAAAAUAUAAAGGACUGUUAAACAGUAUUAAUUCACUGUGCCACUUUGCACUUCUGUAUUCAUCAAGAUGAUUCCAUCUACUUUCUUUUCUGUUGCUUUCAGGGAACUAUAAGAUCUUGCAAGGGCUAUCGAAGAUAUACAGCCAACUCCUUCAUGAGUUGACGUUGCAGAUCUAUCAUUUUCUUCUGAACACACUAAACUCGUGGAAAUAGAAGGGACUUUAUUAACAACCAGAGAGAUAAAAGAUACUUGAGGAAGCUGCAUAUUAAAGCAUAUUCAAAAGGAGUGCCUAAAAGGUUAGAAGGACAAUUUUCUGAUUACAAGAUUCUCUGAAGUGCAGAAGAAAUUCAUAACAAGAGGUGAGAUAAACGGUUAAUCAAUUUUUCUUUUUCUGUUUUGUGUUUCAGGUUUUUGGUUUUUCUUUAUGGGGUUUGAUGAUAUCAGCUAGAAACUGGUUUUGAAAACUCAUUGGUGUUUGGGUUCCCACCACCUUUGUCUUCAGCAGAAAUGAUCCAAAAUAAAAAUUGAUUAUUUUAUGGACAUUCUUCGUCUGUAAAUAGAGUAGAUAUUUGAAAGUUGAAACUGCUCUGAGAACUUUAAGACUAUAUGCAAAGAUUGUGGGGGAAGCAUGUCAUUGUCACAGCCAUUAAUGUUGGCUUUACCAUUAAUCAACUAUCCUCUGUGGACCGAGCCUCCAGUCACCCUCUUGUAGCUUGGACCCCUUAUAUGUACUCUCUCUGUUGCUCUUCUCUCUCUUGCAGGAAAAUUUUCUGUGCACAUAUUUUUCACCACAACUAUAAUAGAAGCCCCAACGCUUUCCCAAAAUAACUUCUUAUGCAUUCACCAGACAGCUCAUUCACUACCCAUUUUAAGACUAUGGAGAUCUAUGUGCCCCCUAUCACUAUCCACUGUUCUCCUCAAUGCCAAAACAGUUCUCGAUGAAGUCAUUUUAGUUUGUUUGAUUAGGCAGGCAUAUAUUGUGGCAACAUGCAAGUAGGUCUUUUAUUUAUUUGGAAUUCUUGAGUCUCUCUUAAGAACUUAAAGAUUUUACAAGUAUUGUCGCUAUAUUGAACUCUUCUAUAAUCGCAUUGAUAUGUUGACCCAAUUCAUCUUGAAUUAAAGAAGCAAAGCUAAUGCCAGAAUCAAUUUCUUCUUUGACUAUUGUGAGAAUAAACAAUUACUUUUAUAUGUUUUGAUCAAGAAUAAACCUGAGACGUGUAGGAUUUAAAUAUAGUUGCAUGCAUCUAUACAGUUUUUUUUUUUUUUUUCCUUUUUGGUGGCUUAUCGAACUUUUGUUCAUCAAAUUUCUCUAUUAAUUCUUUCAUUAUUGUAGUAAUUAAUUUUAAAGUUGUAAUAGUUUUUGUGUUAAAGUUUCAUCUAUUCAUCGACUUUAGUUUGUGGCUAAUUUAUACAUCUAUAUAUGUCUUCCAUAAUCUCUAUUUCGUUAGAUAAGCAUCGACAAAUAAUUAUAGCACCAUUGUCUUUAGGUUUAAGACGUCUGUUUUUUGUGAUUCUUGACCAAUUUCGGCAUCUUAUAUUGUUUUACACCUCCACAACAAAGCUAUUGAAUUUUAUUUAGAGUAAAUAUUCUUAAGUUACUCGUCACAGUUAUGUAAUCCAUUGUAAUCAUAUUUUAAAUUAAAAAGUUACAUUAUUUCUUUAUCAAUUCUUAUAAAUAGAUUAAUAUUCUUAGAAUAAUAGAAUCGGAGCAAAGGCAUUAGUGUAUGCCGAUUGACCAUGAGAACUCUAUAUUUACAUUAGAUAGUUAUUCUAGAAAUGUUUGUAGUCUCGGUAUUAUUCGCAUAGGUAAUAUGUGUUAAACAACUUUACUAAAAGAUAGUAACAGAUUUCACGUGUUAAAGUUGUUUAAAGACAACUUACUAUAACAUAUGAGUGCAUAUUAUAUAAACGUGUCUAUCAGACCAACCCAUUAAGAGGAUUUUAUAUGGAUGAGUGUUUUAGUGUCUAUGAAACAUAAUUUUAAUAAAUAGUGAUAUAUGUAAUCAUUUGACUUGAGGUUAUUGAAUUAUUUUAUUUAAAGAUUAAUAUGAUUUGACACUAGUCUAAUAUAUUUUUUGACAAAGGGUUGGCAAAAUAGUAAUGAUUGAUUAUAUUGAGAAAUGUACAAAAACUAUAGUGAACCAAUAAAGGAUUUAUCUCUCUCAAAUAUAGGAGUUGAUAUUUCUAAUAGACUUUCUGGUGAAUAUCAAUAACCACUUAAAUAUGUGGUUACAAUAGGAUUGAGUUAUUUCUUAGUCUUAUAUCAUUUGAUCAUUGAUAUGAACGUUCGUCUAUGCAUAUCAAAAGUCCCUUGAGGUAAACAUUCAUUUUAUGUUUCAGUCUUGAAGAUAUAUUGUAUGAUGAAGUGAUUGAAUUGUACAAUAAUUGUAUUGUUAAUAGUUGAAAGUCAAUCUUUAACACUUCCCCAAUUGUGUACUUAUAAUGUCUUGUUAGAGACUAAUAUUGAUAUGUGUAUAGAUGGUUAUUGAAUUGUUGAUUUAAUAUGAUUCUAUAAACUAUUAACUUGAUAAAGAGCCUAUGGAUUACACAAAAUAGAAGUUGAUCAAACUUUAAAGGUAUUAAAUUAUUUGAGAUAAAUCAGGUUUGGAAUCCAGAUAAUCUGUUUCGAGUCUUAUAUAGUGAUUGGACUCAAGUAUAAGCUAUUAUGCUUUGAGGACCAAAAUGAGAUAGUCUAAGAGUGAAAGCAUGUGAAUGAAAUAACAUGCAGUUAACUUUAUCCAAAUCAGAUAAAGAUAAAGUUGAAAAUGGAUAAUUGUUAGGUCUCAUGCACAUUUGUGCAUGGUCAUGCAUAGUUAUGCAUCUUGUCCAUAGAUCUUAUUACAGUAUUAGUUAUCUGGAUAAUUAGGGAUUGUGUGAGAUAUAAUAAAGAUCAGGUGCAUGAAAGUAUAUCAAGAUGAAUGGUCAUGUAUUGUCUCCUAUAUAAAUAGAUGAUUUUCAACCUUUUAGAAGUUUUUGACCAAUUUCCCCUGCUCACAUCCAUUCACCCAAUAUCCCAACCACAAAGAGCGUUUGUUGUUGCCUCAAAACUUGUGGAUACUGAAGUGUUAUCCUAUACAAACAUAAGCGAGUUUGAACUUGUUUUCCACAUUGUUAAAGAGAAUGAACCACUAAUGCAGGUAUGACUUCUCUUCUUACUCUAAAUCCAUAUAUAAAUUACUUGUAUGAAUGCAUGACGAGGAUCUACAACUGGCUUCUGAAUAUGGUUUGAUGGCUGUUUUACAAAAUUUAUUUAGUCCUCCGUAUAGUUUUUUGUUUGCCAUACAUGCAUAUACAUACACACAUAUAUAGUACUAUUUUUCUUUAACAAUUAUAUUAUUUCUUCAUCUCGUUUUGUAUGGUGAUUCAUACGCUCAUAAUUACAGCAGUGGAGCAAACGGGUAUCCUAAAUUUGCAGAACUGGACUUAUGAAAAAUUAGCUGCAUCUCUUGCUUAUAUAUGUUUGCAUUUCCUUUUCCUGUAAUCACAAAAAAUUUGAGCGUGAAUCAUUCAGCUGCUGAGGAUUGAGGAGGGGUAACUGCAAAUACUAUAGAAGAUACUGAUUUCAGCAAUUUUCUUAUCUCUUUUCAUUCCGUCUUUGUGUAUGGAUGUUUAAUGGUAGGUACCAAUAAACUCAGAAUGUUUUCAUCGUAGAUUCCAGGAAAUUUCUUCGAAACUAUAAUGAACUCAUUCCGAUUUUGAUGCUGCUGAGUCUGGUCGUUGGAAUUAAAGUCCUAAUUCAAUUUUUGAAACGUUUAUUCAAAGAAAAUGUAGUUGGAUUAAUCAAUUUUUUGUUAAUAAUAAAGCAAGUCUUAUAUU
Mangifera indica (mango) is the source of this 4651-nucleotide long non-coding RNA. RefSeq lists it as uncharacterized. The transcript has 3 exons. NCBI's taxonomy places the organism in Eukaryota, Viridiplantae, Streptophyta, Magnoliopsida, Sapindales, Anacardiaceae. The record is from RefSeq and is a predicted model, not a curated record.